This 4160-nucleotide long non-coding RNA is filed under the name Marmota monax (woodchuck). Lineage: Eukaryota; Metazoa; Chordata; Mammalia; Rodentia; Sciuridae. The record is from RNAcentral.
CUGGGACUGCCAUGCUGAGGAAACACCAGGAGAGAGAAGCCCCGCCAUCACAGUGGAUGUGACUCACCUAAAUGCAGUCAGCUGAGUGGGCCCAGGCAAGACCUGAAGGGCCACCCUGUCCACCCAUGAAUUAUGAGCAUCAGCCAAUGGCUUUUGCUUUAAGCCUCUGGGUUUGGGGCUGAUGUUUUUAAAAGAUGGUGCCCACAUUAUGUACCAUCUGCAUGCUCAUCUUACGGUGGUACCAGUGCUCCUUCCAACUGGUGUGGCACCUACAUCCCUUUCCCUUGAACCCAAGUGGACUUUUUUGACAAUCUCAACUAACAGAGUUAGGCAGAAGUGAUGCUACAUGGCCUUCUAGGCUGUCAUAAAAAAUAUUUUCACUUCUGCCUGUUCUCUGGGGGUUUCUAUAAGAUACCAUGCCAUGAGAAAACCAAGCCACACGCAGAGGCCACAUACAGGUGUGCUGCAGGAGGUGGCCCAGCUGAGGUCCUAGCAGACAGCCAACAUCAGCUGGUGGUGGUAAAUGACUGCAGCCCACAGCCCGCAUGCUGCCAGGUUGGUGCCACAUGAGCCAAGAUGAACUGCCCUGCCACACCCUGUCCACCUUGAACAUUGUGAGCACAAUAAGUGGUGUUGUUUCAGUGAACUAAGUUUGCAAAGGUUCUUGUGUAGCAAGAAUAUAAUAAGGAUUAUAUCAGCCAGGGACGGAUCCAAAGGCCUGUAGAAAUCCUGCAAGUCACAGUACUAUGGCUUCCUUAAGCCUUUACACUUUCUCUUUAUUUCUGUCACCACUAUUUGCAUUUUCCAGAUCUAUGAAGAUGAUGAGUUCAUGGGAGUAAAUGAACAGUAAUGGAAAGCAACCUAACAUUCUCUGUAGCAUGUGCAAUUUGAAUCUGUUUCUCAGUAAAAUUAUCAAUCACUACAAAUCUUGAUCACUCAAGGGCACUUAGAAACAUCUUUAUUCCCAGAGGUACAGAAGGCUUUGCACUGUACAAAGCUACUUUUAUUUGAGCAUGACAGAUCAAUAUAGAAACUAUGUAGUUAAUUAACUGUGGAAAAAAUGUUUAGCAGGUACAUUACCCUCUAUUUUUUCCUCAAACCUGACUUUCAGUUGCAUAUAAUAGAACAAGGCACUACUUGGUAGGGCUCCUCUUGGUUACACUGUUGCGAUAUGUCUUAUCCCCCUUCAUAUGCAUGAGUUGUAUCUGCUUAAACAUAUUUCAUGGUAUUUUAUUGAUAUACACUUCACAUACUGUAAAAAAUCAACAUUUAAAAAUGUUCUAACAAUUGGUUUUUUGGCAUAUUCAUCAGGUUGUACUGACAUUACUACUAUCUAAUUGCAGAAUACUUACUCCAAAAAUAAACCCCUUACACAUUAGCAGGCACUCCCCAUCUCUCCCCAUGCCCAGUCCCUGGAAACCAUGAAUCUACUUCCUGUCUAUGAAUUUACCUACCCUGUUCAUUUCAUAUGACAAACUCAUGCAACGUGUGGCCUUUUGUGCCUGAAUUCUGUCAUUCAGCCUGAUGUUCUCACAGUUCAUGUACUGUAACAUCAUGAAAACCUCAGUCCUUUCUGUGGUCAAAUAGUAUUCCAUUGUAUAAGUAUACCUCAUCAUUCAAAAUAGCCACUUUUGGGGUAGGGAAAAAAAAAAAAGUAUUCAGGCAGUCCGCAUUUACCACCAGGAGGAGGUGAAGAGCAUCAGACUCCUGCUCUUCUCAAAAAGCAGGCAGCACCAAACAUUUACCACCAGGGGGAGCAGAAGAGCAUCAGCGACUCCGGUUCCCCUCAAAUUCCUCACCAGCCCAGCAUUUCUUCUGAGAGUUGAUUUUGUAGCCUCUCCUCCGGUUUUAGUUGUUCAUUCUGGAAAACUGUUAGAAUAAUCAGAUGCUGGGGAUGGAAUCCAGGGCAUGAUGCGUGCUAGGCAAGCACCUUAAUACUAAGCUAUGCCCCUAGCCCAUGUAACUACUUUUAACCUAAAUACAAAACAGGAGAGGGAUUCUCCAAAGAAUAUUGCUAUUUGUGAACAGCAGAGCAUCAAGGGUGGCACACAUGUCAGAGUGGACUGGGGCAGAUUCAGAGACUGGGAAAGAGGGAGUUUUAAAGACCAAGUGAGCAGGAGCAUCACAUCAGACUCAGAAAAAAAAUAAACUUUGGCUAGAAUAAUGAAUAACAAGAGCAGCAUUAUUCACUAAAUUCAUUAUCACUCAUAUAUGCAUUAUUAUAACUGUUGGUCCAAGUGUGGACAGACAGUCGCAGUACUUUCUGUGUAAGGUUUCACUGGUCUUUUUGCAAGCUUAUGGUUCUGGUAGAGUUUUUUGUGCUACCAUCAGGCACUCAGCUAUGGGAACCUUUCCUUCCUGACCUCUGGCUUUGUUUAUUUUUACUUGGUUUACUUUUGUUUUGUUGGGGUUGACACAGGGACCCCAUCUUGAUUCCGAAGCCUUCGUGUUCCUUUCACAUAGCCCUUCGUGGCCUGAUUUCCUGGUAUGAAAACACCUUCUUUAUGUACUUGAUCUAGGGCUGCUCUGGUUUGAGCAUGUUCACCCCUGAUUCCUUAAGUGGUUUGUAGCUUUCCUACUUCUUGGAGAAUUUAAGAAAGGCAAACAAACCAUUCCUCUUCCACUCUUCUCUUGUCAAAAACAGAGAAGUGGCAGUGGUGCUGUCCCUUGAGCUUUUGUGACACCAGUUUUUCUUGUCACUUGGGUGUGCACACUGUCAUGGCUUUAUUGCUGACAAUGUCACUAGACUGAGGAAUUCAAGCCUCAUAGACUUUAUCUACUCCCUACUGCUACCAAAAGCUCAGUCCUUGUCCCUGAUGCUAAUCCAAUAACUAGGAUGUGUUUUUUAGGAAAGAGAAUUUUUAUUGCUUUGCUCACAAAGAAGAAACCGAGAGGACACCGGUUCUGAUAUCCUAUCCUUGCACACCAAGGGCAAGGCCCUUACCAUCCUCAACUUAGUUUCUGACUCUUUACCAUGUAACUGCAUAAAUGCCUACACACAGAAUCUCUUCCUUCUGCUUUACCUCUGACAGACCAACUCUAGCUGCAAGAUUGUAAAAUAAUCCAGAAAAAUCACUUGUAAUGGUCAAUUUGAAUAGUCAACUUGAUUGAAUUAAGAGAUUCCAAGGAUUGAGAAGUUUAUAGGUGUGUCAGUGAGGGUGUCUAGGAAUGAUUGGCAUGUGGGAUAGACAGCUGAAAUGGAGACCCUCCCUAAGUGUGGGCAGCACUGUCCAAAAGGAUGUUGGUUUGGAUGGAACAGAAGUUGGAAGAACAAGGAAGAAGCAGGAGAUGCAAAGCUCAAUUCUUCUUGAAUCAGCGCUUGAUUGCUCUGCAAUUUUCUGAGGAUAUCAGCUUCACUUCUUCACUCUGGAAAGUGGACUCUGCCAGUGAUUCUCUAGAAGCCUUUGGUCUCCGAUUAGUGUAGCACUGUUGGUCCCUCUUGUUCUGGGGCUUCAGCCUCCUAGACUGCACAGCUACGGGUUCUUCCAGCUCUCCGGCCUGCAGACGGCCACUGUGGACUAUCCAGCUUCUGGUUGCAUAAGCCAACCUGAUAAAUCCCCUUUUUAUAAUUAUACUUCCUGUUGAUUCUGUUCCUCUAGGGAACCCUGACUAGUACACCAUUCAAAGGCCAGAUUGUUUUUCAGUACUUCUUUCUCUUAGACAGGUUUAUACCAAUAGGUGGCCCAUUCAUCCAAGAUAUAUCUUCCCAAGGGACUAUCAGUAAGUUCAAUAUAUCAUGGCCCAUGUCUUAAAGGGCCAGUUACAGAUGAGACAGGGGUGGGGGGAUAAAUAGAGAAAGAAGAAAGAAAGAAAAGAAAGAAAGCAGGAAACACACGGAUAACCAGAGAGGACCCCCCAAUCCAUGGCUGACAGAUGGGAACCUACAAAAUAGAGAGACCUGCUCAUAUAGAAUUUCAUCCACCUACUUUAUCUCUGACAGAUCAACUCCAACUGCAAGAUUGCAUAAUAAUUCAGAAAGCCAUUCAAAGGUCAGAUCAUUAAAGUAGAACAUCAUCUUUUUCUAAGGCUUAUACCUAUUGGUGGCCCUUCUUCCACUUACUUUACCUCUGGCAGACCAACUCCUAAUUCAAGAUUGUACCAAAAAAGAGGCCUCUCUCCGUCUAUCGAGAGAUGGCCUUUGUCAGCUCUGACAAAUAAAC